UCCUUUUGUCAUGCAGCAGUUAAUCAAAGAUGCAACAAUUCAGCACAGGUUGGACAUCAACUACACACUGACUGUUCUGCCUGAAAAUGAGCCCUUUUACCAUCUAGCAUCAGUGAUGGCGGUAACCGAUGCCGCCUUUGAUGCCCUCUGUUCGGAGUCUGGCAUCAGCUUUAAACUGGACAACCGUCCU
Molecule: long non-coding RNA, 190 nt
Organism: Etheostoma cragini (Arkansas darter)
Lineage: Eukaryota; Metazoa; Chordata; Actinopteri; Perciformes; Percidae
Exons: 4
Source: RefSeq, a predicted model, not a curated record